RNAcentral lists this long non-coding RNA (799 nucleotides) under Gallus gallus (chicken). RNAcentral's name for it is "lncRNA (ENSGALG00010014239.1)". The record is from RNAcentral. Lineage: Eukaryota; Metazoa; Chordata; Aves; Galliformes; Phasianidae.
GUUGGAGUCUCAUCUGAGAAGGUGGAGCGAUCGCAAGUCUGCACGUCACUGCGGUGAUCCAGUGGGAGGAGGCAGCCCACCCGGGCCCAUCAGCCGUCGAUCUGGAUUUCCUCCUGUGCGCAGGCGAUUGGCCACCCCGUGCAUGGUUCACUUGGGUGUGACUGCGAGCCCUGCUUAGUUCUGUGAAAGUCACAGAGAGCCUACGUGCAGCAAAAGGUAACCCGAUAGCGCAGAGAAGACGCAGGAGUUAUGACCACCAAACAAAAAAGAACCGUACCGGCAGAGAAACAGAGCAGAAACUGCACAGCUGAUGGAGUGUGAGGAGAAGAAAUCUGAACAUCAUUGUCUAAGUACUUAGUGGCUUUGAAAUAAAACUAGAGAUUAUCGCAAGUGCUGCAGUUGUUCAAAUUCAGCUCCUGCCAAGUUUUCACACCACCGAUGCUUCUAAGAACAGAGAAACCUACCUUAGAAGCUUCUUCCCAAUUUGUAUCUUGCUAUUUUCAGUAUUAAAUUUAGAACAGUGUCUAAAUGAAACAUCUCAUCUUGUUUGUGGUGGCAUUCUUUUAAUGACAUUGUACCUCAUACACUUGACAUAAAGACUCAUACUGAGUGCUGCAGCUCCGUGGCAAGCAAAGCACCAUCCUGUAAAUGAAAGGAUCGCAUUCUCUUUGCAGGUUUUGUUCCUUCUGGCAAGCUAGAAGAUGUAAAAUAUGAACUGGAGAAAAAGGAGAGGAAGGAAGCAUCACACAUCAUCUAGCUAACGUAUUUUAAACACACUGUUCUUUUGGAAUGGUUUUGG